GACGAACGCUGGCGGCGUGCUUAACACAUGCAAGUCGAACGGAAAGGCCCUGCUUUUGUGGGGUGCUCGAGUGGCGAACGGGUGAGUAACACGUGAGUAACCUGCCCUUGACUUUGGGAUAACUUCAGGAAACUGGGGCUAAUACCGGAUAGGAGCUCCUGCUGCAUGGUGGGGGUUGGAAAGUUUCGGCGGUUGGGGAUGGACUCGCGGCUUAUCAGCUUGUUGGUGGGGUAGUGGCUUACCAAGGCGUUGACGGGUAGCCGGCCUGAGAGGGUGACCGGCCACAUGGGGAGUGAGGAACGGCCCAGACUCGUACGGGAGGCAGCAGGGGGGAGUGAUGCACGAUGGGCGGAAGCGUGAUGCAGCAACGCAGCGUGCGGGAUGAAGGCCUUCGGGUUGUAAACCGCUUUCGCGUGUGACGAAGCGUGAGUGACGGUACUGGGUAAAGAAGCACCGGCUAACUACGU
This 467-nucleotide ribosomal RNA is filed under the name uncultured bacterium. RNAcentral's name for it is "partial 16S ribosomal RNA". It matches the Rfam family "Bacterial small subunit ribosomal RNA", at positions 28 to 506 of the family's 1533-position model. The record is from RNAcentral.